This 401-nucleotide ribosomal RNA is filed under the name uncultured bacterium. Its description in RNAcentral is "partial 16S ribosomal RNA". It matches the Rfam family "Archaeal small subunit ribosomal RNA", at positions 473 to 873 of the family's 1478-position model. The record is from RNAcentral.
AUACCGGCUGCUCGAGUGAUGGCCACUAUUACUGGGUUUAAAGCGUCCGUAGCUUGACUGUUAGGUCUCUUGGGAAAUCUUUUGGCUUAACCAAAAGGCGUCUAAGAGAUACCGGCAUUCUUGGAACUGGGAGAGGUAAGCCGUACUUCGGGGGUAGGAGUGAAUUCUUGUAAUCCUCGAGGGACGACCUAUGGCGAAGGCAGCUUACCAGAACAGCUUCGACAGUGAGGGACGAAAGCUGGGGGAGCAAACGGGAUUAGAUACCCCGGUAGUCCCAGCCGUAAACAAUGUGCGUUAGGUGUGUCGGUUACCACGCGUAACUGAUGCGCCGAAGAGAAAUCGUGAAACGCACCACCUGGGAAGUACGGUCGCAAGACUGAAACUUAAAGGAAUUGGCGGGG